GUAAAAAAUUUAUAAGAAUAUGAUGUUGGUUCAGAUUAAGCGCUAAAUAAGGACAUGACACAUGCGAAUCAUACGUUUAUUAUUGAUAAGAUAAUAAAUAUGUGGUGUAAACGUGAGUAAUUUUAUUAGGAAUUAAUGAACUAUAGAAUAAGCUAAAUACUUAAUAUAUUAUUAUAUAAAAAUAAUUUAUAUAAUAAAAAGGAUAUAUAUAUAAUAUAUAUUUAUCUAUAGUCAAGCCAAUAAUGGUUUAGGUAGUAGGUUUAUUAAGAGUUAAACCUAGCCAACGAUCCAUAAUCGAUAAUGAAAGUUAGAACGAUCACGUUGACUCUGAAAUAUAGUCAAUAUCUAUAAGAUACAGCAGUGAGGAAUAUUGGACAAUGAUCGAAAGAUUGAUCCAGUUACUUAUUAGGAUGAUAUAUAAAAAUAUUUUUAUUUUAUUUAUAAAUAUUAAAUAUUUAUAAUAAUAAUAAUAAUAAUAUAUAUAUAUAAAUUGAUUAAAAAUAAAAUCCAUAAAUAAUUAAAAUAAUGAUAUUAAUUACCAUAUAUAUUUUUAUAUGGAUAUAUAUAUUAAUAAUAAUAUUAAUUUUAUUAUUAUUAAUAAUAUAUUUUAAUAGUCCUGACUAAUAUUUGUGCCAGCAGUCGCGGUAACACAAAGAGGGCGAGCGUUAAUCAUAAUGGUUUAAAGGAUCCGUAGAAUGAAUUAUAUAUUAUAAUUUAGAGUUAAUAAAAUUAAUUAAAGAAUUAUAAUAGUAAAGAUGAAAUAAUAAUAAUAAUUAUAAGACUAAUAUAUGUGAAAAUAUUAAUUAAAUAUUAACUGACAUUGAGGGAUUAAAACUAGAGUAGCGAAACGGAUUCGAUACCCGUGUAGUUCUAGUAGUAAACUAUGAAUACAAUUAUUUAUAAUAUAUAUUAUAUAUAAAUAAUAAAUGAAAAUGAAAGUAUUCCACCUGAAGAGUACGUUAGCAAUAAUGAAACUCAAAACAAUAGACGGUUACAGACUUAAGCAGUGGAGCAUGUUAUUUAAUUCGAUAAUCCACGACUAACCUUACCAUAUUUUGAAUAUUAUAAUAAUUAUUAUAAUUAUUAUAUUACAGGCGUUACAUUGUUGUCUUUAGUUCGUGCUGCAAAGUUUUAGAUUAAGUUCAUAAACGAACAAAACUCCAUAUAUAUAAUUUUAAUUAUAUAUAAUUUUAUAUUAUUUAUUAAUAUAAAGAAAGGAAUUAAGACAAAUCAUAAUGAUCCUUAUAAUAUGGGUAAUAGACGUGCUAUAAUAAAAUGAUAAUAAAAUUAUAUAAAAUAUAUUUAAUUAUAUUUAAUUAAUAAUAUAAAACAUUUUAAUUUUUAAUAUAUUUUUUUAUUAUAUAUUAAUAUGAAUUAUAAUCUGAAAUUCGAUUAUAUGAAAAAAGAAUUGCUAGUAAUACGUAAAUUAGUAUGUUACGGUGAAUAUUCUAACUGUUUCGCACUAAUCACUCAUCACGCGUUGAAACAUAUUAUUAUCUUAUUAUUUAUAUAAUAUUUUUUAAUAAAUAUUAAUAAUUAUUAAUUUAUAUUUAUUUAUAUCAGAAAUAAUAUGAAUUAAUGCGAAGUUGAAAUACAGUUACCGUAGGGGAACCUGCGGUGGGCUUAUAAAUAUCUUAAAUAUUCUUACA
Molecule: non-coding RNA, 1649 nt
Filed under: Saccharomyces cerevisiae Kyokai no. 7
Lineage: Eukaryota; Fungi; Ascomycota; Saccharomycetes; Saccharomycetales; Saccharomycetaceae
Also listed under: 1 other name
Description: 15S rRNA
Rfam family: Bacterial small subunit ribosomal RNA
Source: RNAcentral